This 691-nucleotide long non-coding RNA is filed under the name Homo sapiens (human). Its description in RNAcentral is "LHRI_LNC1244.1". Lineage: Eukaryota; Metazoa; Chordata; Mammalia; Primates; Hominidae. The record is from RNAcentral.
AGCACGGGGCCCACGAGAGGAAGUCUCCAGCAGCAGCUAAUCCUGGGCGGAGAUGACAGCCCGGAGCCUUGGGCUGUUUAAACUCCAGCUGCACGGAAAGCCUCCAGCUGAGAGAGUUUCCCAGAGUCUGUCCCCGGGGUCGAGCCUUCGGGGGCCAGGCCAUGGGAGCUGGGUCUUCCUGUGCCUGGAGCCUUGUCCCCUGCGGACCUGCAGUGUGGCCAGAUGAUGAGUCUUGCACUGAGCAGAACUCCUUGGGCCUUAGGGGGUUCUGCCACCACCCAGCCAUCAUUGGCAGGGCAGGGAAGGCCGGCCCACACCCAGGUCUCGCUGCCUGGACCCUCUGGGGGAGCAAGCUUUGAGCAGGAGAGGGGCCAGGAGCCCCUGAGGAGCAGGAGCGAGGGCUCAGAGCCACAGAGAAUUCCUCAGCCAGGCCUGUGACAAACACAGCUGCCACUCCUCUUCCAGCCCCACUGCCCCAGCCACAUCACAUUGGUCCUGGUCACUCGCAGGGAAGGGCACUCACUGUCCAGGGAGAAAACCCAUUCCUUUCCUCUGGUUCUCUUCCCCAAAGACAUGCAAAUACUUUUUCCAGGAAUUUUCUAACAGCAAUGAUGCACGGACCCUUAACUUUAAACUGACCUAGAGGCCCAGGAGAGCCCAAUUAUUUCUGGCACAGGCACCUGGGCACAGG